GACGCACGAAAGCAAUCCCAGCCUGCCUUGACACCGCAUUCCCACAGCCCCGGCCAAGCGCUCCGAGGGGCCAGAGCCAGAAAAUAUCGCUAUUGGCUCCGUGGAAAAGUUCAGAGCUAAAAACCUUGGAUUGCUGACAGGACAUGUGACGGAGCAGCCCCGGCUGAGGAGCCGUCCAGCACCUUUCAUGUCUCAAAAUAUCUCUGCUGUUGGUACCCUUGGUUCUGAGCAUGUGAUGGCAUUUCCACCUUUUCAAGAAGCCUGAUGAACUCAACACACUUACACAAAACUGAAGCACAACCUACAUCUUUCUUCAGGACCUCACACCUGAGGAUGCCUCAAAGAAAGCCCAUCUUUUUGAGCCCCUGUUUGUUCUUGGCUUCAGUCUUCUCUGGGUGGAUCUGGCAGAGCAAGGCCAGAAUGGAACAUCAGUGAAUAAGUGUGCUGGCGUCACUGAAAAAUGAAAACAAUUGGAAAAUGACAAUCAAAGGAAGGUGAAAGAUCUAGUCCCAGGGCUUCCUGCUGCAGCUGAGAGUUUAUUCAGAUGGCCCCCAGAUAAUCUAAGCCAGAGAUAGGGCACACUGACUUAUUAUGGUGUUUAUUCCCUUGGCUUUUUUAGCUGUCAGAUGCAAGUGCAGUCUGUCCUGGAUACCCUCCCACUUGCACACAUCUUCAGGUUUAGGCUUUGAUUUAUGGUGCUGCUAUGGAAGCAACAUGGAAUUUACAAAUGAGAGAUAUAAAUAAAUGAGAAAGAGCAAGAAAUUUC
This is a long non-coding RNA of Lonchura striata (white-rumped munia), 766 nucleotides long. RefSeq lists it as uncharacterized. The record is from RefSeq and is a predicted model, not a curated record. Lineage: Eukaryota; Metazoa; Chordata; Aves; Passeriformes; Estrildidae.